UUCCCGCCUUUCUCAUUGCACCAAGCGAUCUUAGGGACGAGAGACGAUUUCUAUUUUAGCUCGAUUUCUCUUUCGUGUUUAUCAGCUAAGGAAGUAGGAGAUAUGAAUGAAAUGAGGUUGGCUAGGAUGGGAGGUUUUAAAUACCAAUGGAGACGGUAAUACAUUCAAAGGGAAAUGGCUGUGGCUCAUUGUGGUGGUGACAAAACUUGUAAUCUUCCAGGACAGGUAAAGUUUAUUCUAAGCUUUUUAAGAUUUGUGAAUGAUUUGGAGUAAUGGUUAUAAUAACUUACAUUUUUGUUGUUAUUAUAGUUGAAUUAUAUUAUGUCCAUAAUCAACCAUUGUCAAUUAAAACACAAACCUCCCUUAGACUUGACAUAUUUUGGCAGUCCAUUAAAGGUGGUUGUUACACCAAGCACACAACAGUAGUCAAUCGCAGGUCAUGACAGUCCAUGGUAGUCAAUGGUAUGUAUGUCACGGCAGUACAGUCCAUGGUAGUCAAUGGUAUGUAUGUCACGGCAGUACAGUACAUGGUAGUCAAUGGUAUGUAUGUCACGGCAGUACAGUACAUGGUAGUCAAUGGUAUGUAUGUCACGGCAGUACAGUACAUGGUAGUCAAUGGUAUGUAUGUCACGGCAGUACAGUACAUGGUAGUCAAUGGUAUGUAUGUCACGGCAGUACAGUACAUGGUAGUCAAUGGUAUGUAUGUCACAGCAGUACAGUACAUGGUAGUCAAUGGUAUGUAUGUCACGGCAGUACAGUACAUGGUAGUCAAUGGUAUGUAUGUCACGGCAGUACAGUCCAUGGUAGUCAACGGUAUGUAUGUCACGGCAGUACAGUACAUGGUAGUCAAUGGCAGUCCAUGUAGUGGGAUGUCAUGGCAGUCUAUGGUAAUCUAUGGCAAUCCAUGGUAGUCAAUGACAUUAUAUGGCAGUACAUGGUGGUGAACUGCCUUGACUUGCCAUUGCAUAGUAUGGCAGUCCAUGGUAGUCAAUGAAAGUCUAUGGUAGUCCGUGGUAGUCUAUGGCAAGUCAUGGUAGUCAUUGGCAAGUCACUACUUCGCUACUUCGCUUCGGAUAACCAAGCGAUCCUUUUCCUUCCAAAUGCGUUGGAUAGCAGCUUUUUCUUCUCUGCUAGUUGUUUGCUCAUUGGUUUUUACUGCGUGUAUCACCUUCUGUAUGACUGGUUCCUCUUUCUGGUGUCGUGACCAUCCAGCGGGAGUAACUACUAAGCUUGGAGCACUUUGCUGCUGCUGGCAGAGAGGCGGCGUCGUUGCUACAUGAGCGUCACCUAACACUUACAACUCAUCGAGGAAAAACACUUCUGGUUGUGCUCCAAAAGGUUGUAAUAAUAAUAGCCUAUUGUAUUAUUUGAUUGACAUUGUAAUCAAUACUAGAUAACCGCACCCAUUUGUAAUCACGUAUAAGCUUUAGCUCGACUAUCAAUAAACACUAUUCAAUCACUACCCUUGGAGUACGUUAUUCCGCUAUCCAUCCUCCACUAUCCUUCAUCUUCUAUAAAGCACGGAACAUUACAAAGGUAGCAGCCUGUCUAAGAAUGGUCGUAAAAAGUCCUCUCUGUUCGACUCUGGUGGAGAGCAUGAGUUGUCUGCUUGUGGCAUCCUGGACAAACCGUCGGCGUCCCGCACGAUUUCCCUGGCCGGUAGCUGAUAGUAAAGUCAAAUGAAGAAAUUGCAGAAAGCCAACGAUGAUUACUAGCACUAAGCUUGGCACUCGUCAGUAGGUAGGUCAGCAGGUUACUAUCUGUUAUCACAUGAAACUGGCGUCCGUACUAGUUGUUGUGGAAUUUCUCUGUCAUGGCCCACUUUAGCGAAAGGAAUUCACGACUGGACGCGUAGUAUCUACUUUCCACUGCUGACAACGACCUACUGCCAUACGCAAUUACCCUUGGAAUACCAUCUUCUUGGAGUUGAUACAGAGCUGCUCCAAUGCCCUCGCCAGAAGCAUCUGUAUGCAGAACAAAAGGCUUAUUAAAAUCAGGGAAGGCAAGGACUGCGCUAGAGCAAACCCUGUUGAUUAAGCAUUCAAACGUGCUCUGACAUUCCGCUGUCCAGACGAACUGGCGCUUCCUUCCUGCCUGUACCCGUAACAGCUUGUUGAGAGGUUCGGGGAUAACCGAGAAACGUUUGGCAAAGGUACGGUAGUAUCCGGCGAAACCCAGGAAAGUCUGCAAGUCCUAAGCAUUGGUUGGAGGGUGUUGACGCCAUUUCAUUGAGCCAUCUGACAGCUCCGCCUACAUCUAAGUGACAAAUUAGUGCCGAUCACAAAAGGCACACGGGAAUUGUACUUAUUAUUGUGUACCACUAGUGCCAGUGUUUCAAACGUCUCAUUAGUUCCAAUUUCUUCUACAGGAAAAAAAUGCUACCGAUAUGUAGCCUAUAAAUCGUACAUCCUGGCCGCCGGCGCCAACAACAAGUAUCAGAUCACUGAUUGGUUUCACAGCACAAUGCAACAAAUAGCGUUUGUAGAAUGAUUCGAAAACCGAUGUUACCUUACUGCCUGUUUUGAGCAUCGCCAAGCCAGCAUUGCCAUCUGCAAAGGCCACACACACAUUUGCUUCGCCAAUUAGCUCGCUUGGUAAUUCUCGGGCACUAAUUCCAACAGGUGGGGUACUGUCCGAAUUGUUUAAGGCCUGUAAUUGCCCCAUGGCAGAGGCCUCUGUCCGUUUCACUGGUUACCGAACUGCUGAGGUGGUCUGUUUCCCUGGUUACGGAACUGCGGGGGGUUUCUGCAGCCAAUGGCCACGUGACCCCGUUCUCCACAGUUGUAGCAGGUCGGGCGGUCGCCAUUAGGCUCUUGAGCCCGCCGCCCUCUCGCGAUAGGGGCUCGUCCCACGUCAGAAUCCAGCGGAGCACUCUCAUUGGCCCAGGGCCCCAGGCCCCCCUCAAGGGUUUCCUUCAAGACUCCUCUAACCUCUCUUGAGAAACCUGCGCAGAAUUCUGCUAUCCAUUCGGGUUUUUGUUUCUUGUUACUUUCACGGGCUUCCUGUGGUUCGGCUUUGACGGUAACAUUGGAUCGGACCACGCGUUUUGGGGCCUUGGUCGAGGAGAGCUAUUUUUCUCCGUAUCGAGCUGCAGUGAUAAGCUCAGAAAAGCUUUUGCACGUGUCUUUACGGUGUCUUGCUUUGUCUUUGAUCUCAGGAUACAAGCCUGCCCAGAAAAGCAUACGCAGUUGCCUCUCAACGGCGCUUUCGUCCGGCAAGAGUUCUGUAUUCCUUACGUAAGCGAGCCUCACGUGGUCGUCGAGGCGACCCCUAAUCCCACGAGUUUGGUUUUCGCUUACCCCUGUAGUGGACGGCGGAUCUGUUCGGAAAUCACCUCCGUCGCAUAAAGGCCGCCUUGAACCAUACUCUCGACUUCGAACCUCCAUACUCUGUAUGAAACGCCUUUGUCCUUAUUCGCGCUAAACACGUAAAUGGGUGAGAAUCGAAGACGCGGUAGGAUUUGAUGUUGUUUCACGCUCGCGUUAUUAUUAAGGGACAUGCACAGAACGAACUUCGUCUCCUUCGACUUGUAGUCCACAGCAAUGUCGUAAGAAAGACUCAAGCUUCACAAAUUACUUCUUAAAAACUUCAGGGGCGAUCCGAAUUUCUUCUCAUACUCUUCGGCUAGUUUUGCCACAGGAACAAGAUAUUCCUCAGAGGAAGCUCCUUGUGUUUUCAACUACGCUACGAGUUCAGUAACCCGCAUCUGUUCCAUAUACAACUUCUCCUCUAUCGAAAGAUCCAUGUCUAACUGCUCGAACGUCCCGUCGGGGGUGCCAAUAUGUAAUAGCUCGGUCAGGAUAGGGUUUGGUGGCCCAGAGACAAAGAAUUACAAUGAAGUUGGGACGUUUAACAAUAUAAUUCACUCGCUUUCAACAUCGGGUCCAAGUCUAAAUCUGAUACACCUAGCAUCAUAUUACUAGCGACCUAACUGUUAUACAAUUAUCAACUUAAUCUUAAUUUGUUAUCGAGAAGAUCACACUCGCAAAGGCGACAUUUACAAGAUUUCACAGAAGCACAAAAAUAAUUUAUUUCCCGCAGCAAAAAGGACUUAUGACCUUCAGAUCUCGGUGUCUCUCAAGAAAAACACACUAAACGUAUACAGUAAUAAGUCUGCAAAAAUCUCCAAAAAUAUCAUCGUAGAGGAGAAAUCUUAUUCUAGACAAUUUCGGAAGAAUCAAAUCUAAAAAAGAAUUCGAAUACUUGCCGUAGUUUCAUUGCAUAGAUUGAUUAGUUGAACUUAAAAACACAAUCAUCUUUUUAUCGUUAUUUAGAAAGGCAUUAUUUAUUUUAUCAGAUCAAUUUCGAUAUUAGAAGUAAGUACUCGAUUAAAAAGUUUUGUUCAUUACAAAUAGUUGGCUGUCAUUUUGUGUUUUCACACCCACACACCUUUUAUGAUACAUCGAUUUUCAUUAAAAGGUAUAUCAAAUAUGAGAUAAAUAUAUUGGGGACGCAAAAGGGAGCCUUUGUUUCAUAAUUGUUUACGACGAUUCUACGAUAACCUCGGUUUUACGAUGGCGCGUCUUUCUCCCGGCGGAAAUAAAAUGAAAUGUAUAAGUAUCUAACGAUAUUGGGUAAAACGAUAUUCUCGAUUUUACGAUACCAAAUUUGUUCUCUCAAGAGUAAUGUUUACCUCGAUACAACGGUAUUACCUAUUCUGAGUAUCAACAAAGACAGAAAAACAAGACACCACACACUACACCCAUUACAGUUAAUCGAUUUUUUUACUUGAGUGAUCUUGUUAAGGUAGGUUAGUCUUACAGAGAUUAACUGAACAGUCUUACUCAGAUUACAGUUACGAUAUUUUAAUGGAUUUUUCUUUAUAUCGCAAUAUCGAGCUCCUCAUUGAACACCUCUUUGCAAUACCCCGAUUUUACGAUACAUAUUCUUUCUCCCAAGUCAUCGUAAAAUCCAGGUUCCACUGUAUUAAAUUAAUAACAUAUACCGGAUUAAAAAAUAAUAACGAUAAUGAUAAUAUAGAAUAAUAAUCAGAUAAGUAGUUGUAUUAAAAAACCUCUUCUGACAACAGCUCAUGUGACCCGCUCGUGUCUUGUCGCUCAGAUAAGAGACAGUGAAUUGGUAGACCUUAUAAGUUAUUUGCCUCGUCUGUUUCUGGCCUGCUCACUGUGGGUAUAAGUUUCACAGCAGAAUAUAUAUGUGGGCAAACCAACAGUUGGAGCGGUCGGGGGCCACACAUUUCUCCCUGUUUCAUUAGAUACAAUACACCACCAAGUGGACGGACUCGAGGAGUUGAGGCGGCUGUAUGGAAAUUGAAGAGCUAGAGUUCGAGUGAUAAAUAGUCCACAAGAUCCAUUGUGGCCGCUUGCUCACAGAUUUCGGCAUCGCCCAGCAAGCUAUGAUAGGUGCAAAGGAUUGUAAAGAGAUAUUGGUAUAGAUCCAUUCAUCGCUGGUGGAAGUAAUCAAGUAGUGACAAUAGCCAAUGUCAUCUAUUAUUUUUUUACCUCUUUGACUGUGUAUUGGUGAAGAUAAUUCCCCCAUCUUGUAUUACCUGGGGCUCUGCCCCAGAUGCCGGGGACGAGUUUGCAGGAAGGAGAUAUUCCAUGUCGUUGAAUUUUCGCGUUACAAUAUGAUUGGCUGGGACCUGGGGGAGUAUCCCAUUCCAACCACAAAUGUUUUAGGGAGUACUGCUUGGUACUUUAACUUCUCUGUUUGCUUUGAAUGUAGCACACGCCACAAGAGGGUAACCGGGAGAGCUGGAAAAAGUCAGAGGGCAGGACUCGACUCCAUGCAUACGCCGUCAGACUCUACUUUCAAAGCGUGUCUGAAUGUAAUUCAAACAUUUAAAAAUGUUUUGAUGUUAUUUCUUGUUUUGAGUUUGAUUCUGUCAUUGUUCUUUGUCUUCAUCUAGCAUCGCAAACCGUUUCUCCAGCACAUGCCACAAUAUUUUUAUUUUUAUUACAGUUUUGUAUUUUUUUUAGAUUCACAGCCUGUAUGUAGGCCUGCAAAUAUUGUAUCUUUAUACAAAGCUUGAAUUUGCUGAGCUUCCAAUGUGUAACUCCUUACACACACUUACAUUUAACUUCUUAAAUCAUGUCGCUCCAGCCAGAUACUGAUCUUGACCGUAAAAAUGACACUGUCCAAUUAUUAAAUAUACACAUACAGUAUUAAGAAAAAGGAAAAAAAAAUGAUAAUGAUAACAUAGAAAAAUAAUUAGAUAAGGAAUCAUAUUAAGAAAAACCUCUUCUUCUGACAA
Molecule: long non-coding RNA, 6214 nt
Organism: Nematostella vectensis (starlet sea anemone)
Lineage: Eukaryota; Metazoa; Cnidaria; Anthozoa; Actiniaria; Edwardsiidae
Exons: 2
Source: RefSeq, a predicted model, not a curated record